UACAGAGGUCCCAAGCGUUGUUCGGAUUCCUUGGGCGUAAAGGGUGCGUAGGCGGCGCGGUAAGUCGGGUGUGAAAUCUCGGAGCUUAACUCCGAAACUGCAUUCGAUACUGCCGUGCUUGAGGACUGGAGAGGAGACUGGAAUUUACGGUGUAGCGGUGAAAUGCGUAGAUAUCGUAAGGAAGACCAGUGGCGAAGGCGGGUCUCUGGACAGUUCCUGACGCUGAGGCACGAAGGCCAGGGGAGCAAACGGG
Molecule: ribosomal RNA, 253 nt
Filed under: uncultured bacterium
Lineage: Bacteria
Description: partial 16S ribosomal RNA
Rfam family: Bacterial small subunit ribosomal RNA
Source: RNAcentral